Molecule: ribosomal RNA, 473 nt
Filed under: uncultured bacterium
Lineage: Bacteria
Description: bacterial SSU rRNA
Rfam family: Bacterial small subunit ribosomal RNA
Source: RNAcentral
GCCUUACACAUGCAAAGUCGAACGGCAGCCAUGGAAGAGCUUGCUCUUCUGAUGGCGAGUGGCGAACGGGUGAGUAAAGCAUCGGAACGUACCGUGUAGUGGGGGAUAACGUAGCGAAAGUUACGCUAAUACCGCAUACGCACUGAGGUGGAAAGCAGGGGAUCGCAAGACCUUGCGCUAUACGAGCGGCCGAUGUCAGAUUAGCUAGUUGGUAGGGUAAAGGCCUACCAAGGCGACGAUCUGUAGCGGGUCUGAGAGGAUGAUCCGCCACACUGGGACUGAGACACGGCCCAGACUCCUACGGGAGGCAGCAGUGGGAAUUUUGGACAAUGGGCGAAAGCCUGAUCCAGCCAUGCCGCGUGAGUGAAGAAGGCCUUCGGGUUGUAAAGCUCUUUCAGCCGGGAAGAAAUCGCAUGGGCUAAUACCCUGUGUGGAUGACGGUACCGGAAUAAGAAGCACCGGCUAACUACGUG